GUGGGGAAUAUUGGACAAUGGGCGCAAGCCUGAUCCAGCCAUGCCGCGUGAGUGAUGAAGGCCCUAGGGUUGGAAAGCUCUUUCAACGGUGAAGAUAAUGACGAUAACCGUAGAAGAAGCCCCGGCUAACUUCGUGCCAGCAGCCUCGGUAAUACGAAGGGGGCUAGCGUUGUUCGGAAUUACUGGGCGUAAAGCGCACGUAGGCGGAUCGUUAAGUCGGGGGUGAAAUCCCGGGGCUCAACCCCGGAACUGCCUUCGAUACUGGCGAUCUAGAGUUCGAGAGAGGUGAGUGGAAUUCCGAGUGUAGAGGUGAAAUUCGUAGAUAUUCGGAGGAACACCAGUGGCGAAGGCGGCUCACUGGCUCGAUACUGACGCUGAGGUGCGAAAGCGUGGGGAGCAAACAGGAUUAGAAACCCGAGUAGUCC
This 425-nucleotide ribosomal RNA is filed under the name uncultured bacterium. RNAcentral describes it as "partial 16S ribosomal RNA". It matches the Rfam family "Bacterial small subunit ribosomal RNA", at positions 354 to 796 of the family's 1533-position model. The record is from RNAcentral.